Molecule: ribosomal RNA, 495 nt
Filed under: uncultured bacterium
Lineage: Bacteria
Description: bacterial SSU rRNA
Rfam family: Bacterial small subunit ribosomal RNA
Source: RNAcentral
GACGAACGCUGGCGGCGUGCCUAAUACAUGCAAGUCGAACGCACUCUCGUUUAGAUUGAAGGAGCUUGCUCCUGAUUGAUAAACAUUUGAGUGAGUGGCGGACGGGUGAGUAACACGUGGGUAACCUGCCCUAAAGUGGGGGAUAACAUUUGGAAACAGAUGCUAAUACCGCAUAAAACCUAACACCGCAUGGUGUAGGGUUGAAAGAUGGUUUCGGCUAUCACUUUAGGAUGGACCCGCGGUGCAUUAGUUAGUUGGUGAGGUAAAGGCUCACCAAGACCGUGAUGCAUAGCCGACCUGAGAGGGUAAUCGGCCACACUGGGACUGAGACACGGCCCAGACUCCUACGGGGGCAGCAGUAGGGAAUCUUCCACAAUGGACGAAAGUCUGAUGGAGCAACGCCGCGUGAGUGAAGAAGGUUUUCGGAUCGUAAACUCUGUUGUUGGAGAAGAUGUAUCUGAUAGUAACUGAUCAGGUAGUGACGGUAUCCGAACC